UUACUCUGGUUUCCCUUCAAUUCACGUUUAAAUCUUUCGCCUUUUACUAAAGAUUUCCGUGGAGGGGAGCAUAUGAUGAGUCUUAGAGAAUAAUUUUUUCUUGUACCCGACGAAAGUUGGGUC
RNAcentral lists this small nuclear RNA (123 nucleotides) under Habropoda laboriosa. RNAcentral describes it as "U5 spliceosomal RNA". It matches the Rfam family "U5 spliceosomal RNA". From Rfam's summary of the family: U5 RNA is a component of both types of known spliceosome. Lineage: Eukaryota; Metazoa; Arthropoda; Insecta; Hymenoptera; Apidae. The record is from Rfam by way of RNAcentral.